This 557-nucleotide ribosomal RNA is filed under the name uncultured Actinomycetes bacterium. RNAcentral's name for it is "bacterial SSU rRNA". It matches the Rfam family "Bacterial small subunit ribosomal RNA", at positions 870 to 1431 of the family's 1533-position model. Lineage: Bacteria; Bacillati; Actinomycetota; Actinomycetes. The record is from RNAcentral.
CGCCUGGGGAGUACGAUCGCAAGAUUAAAACUCAAGGAAUGGACGGGGCCCCGCACAAGCAACGGAGCAUGCGGCUUAAUUCGACGCAACGCGAAGAACCUUACCAAGGCUUGACAUAUACAGGAAUAUGGCAGAAAUGUCAUAGCCGCAAGGUCUGUAUACAGGUGGUGCAUGGUUGUCGUCAGCUCGUGUCGUGAGAUGUUGGGUUAAGUCCCGCAACGAGCGCAACCCUCGUUCUGUGUUGCCAGCAUUUAGUUGGGGACUCACAGGAGACUGCCGGAGUUAACUCGGAGGAAGGUGGGGAUGACGUCAAAUCAUCAUGCCCCUUAUGUCUUGGGCUGCACGCAUGCUACAAUGGCUGGUACAAACGGCUGCGAUACCGCAAGGUGGAGCGAAUCCGAUAAAGCCAGUCUCAGUUCGGAUUGGGGUCUGCAACUCGACCCCAUGAAGUCGGAGUUGCUAGUAAUCGUAGAUCAGCAACGCUACGGUGAAUACGUUCCCGGGGCUUGUACACACCGCCCGUCACGUCACGAAAGUCGGUAACACCCGAAGUCAGU